UACGUAGGCAGCGAGCGUUGUUCGGAGUUACUGGGCGUAAAGAGUGCGUAGGCGGUUUUCUAAGUUUGGUGUGAAAUCUCCCGGCUUAACUGGGAGGGUGCGCCGAAGACUGGAAGGCUUGAGUAUGGGAGAGGUAAGCGGAAUUCCUGGUGUAGCGGUGAAAUGCGUAGAUAUCAGGAGGAACACCGGUGGCGAAGGCGGGUCUCUGGGCCGAUACUGACGCUGAGGAGCGAAAGCGUGGGGAGCGAACAGG
Molecule: ribosomal RNA, 253 nt
Filed under: uncultured bacterium
Lineage: Bacteria
Description: partial 16S ribosomal RNA
Rfam family: Bacterial small subunit ribosomal RNA
Source: RNAcentral